UAGCCAGCAAGAAAAUGGAGAAUGACGUCCUCCAACCACAAGGAACUAAUUUCUGUCAACAGCCACAUAAACUUGGAAGGGCAUCCCAAGCUCUAGAAAGGUGACGGAUUCUUCGCUGUGCAGCUGGAAUAUCACAGUAUAUAAUAUGGACCUGAUAAAAAAUGAAGAUUAGAUAAUUUUAUUGACAGAAACUUUAAACUCUGCACUUGCCACUAUUUAACUGUUCUAUUCCACCAUUAGAGGUUUUUGGACAAAGGUUAAUUGCUCAAUAGGCUGGGAAGUUAUGAGAAGGAUCUGAGAAUCAGGGGCCAUUGGAUUAGAUGCCAUUUAAAGUUCACUGUGGCUGGAGAUUCUAUGAUUCUGGAGAUUCUGAUUUCAGAAUGCAUUUUUAUUCUUCCCCAACUCAAUAUGCAUAUAAAACUGACUAAUUAUGUUUUAUAUUUGCAUAGCACUUAAACACUGGCUUAUACAUUGUUAAAUAAAUCCAAACAGGUGAGUUAAGACUGUUUGUUUAAUGCUCCACCGUGGUUUACACACCUCUUGGUGCUAUAGAAACAACAAGCUUUUUGUACUCAUCCCAUGUAACUUCAGGGAACUGCUGUGUUUUUUCUGAUUCAAUUUUGCAUUGUUAUAAUACAAUUUUUAUUUCCAUGACUUUUUGUAGCAAAAUAUUUACAUUUUGUAAACAGUGGAUGUCUUUUCUAAAAUUUCAUUUUUCUUUCUUGUAAGCUGUAAAAAGUUUGUCUUGUGUGCUUUAACUUCCUUGCAUUUUCCCUUAUUACAGAGUCAAUAAUUUUUGCAAAUACAUAUAGACAUAUUGUUUUAAUAAAUAAUUCAAUAAUUUUAUUUUAAGAUAUGCCUAUUAUUGACAUUUUCUAAAUAAGUGCCAUUUUGUCUAUGGCUGUCUUCCAGGCCCCAACCAUUUAAAUUAUUCAGGCUCCAGAAUUCACUACUCCUAUACUUAGGUAAUUAGAGUUAUAAACUUGAGAAUAAACUUGACCAUUAACUUGGCAUUAACUCGACCAACUUCAAAAGUAUUGACAGAAAAAUAAAGAAAAGAGAGGGCUAAAAAUGCAUAAAAAUUGAAAUAGAAUCAUGACAUUUAACUGUUUAUUAAGUAUUUAUUGUUCAUGGUAACAAUAGGAUAUUCUAUAAAUACUUUAUAUGUAAAGUUGAUAAUAGCCAUCAUAAUUACAGCAUCUGUUUUUAACAGGCUUUCAAUAUUUAAGAUACCAAUCCAUCAACACUCUCUUGUCUUUAGUAUCUGAAAGAUAAUAGCUCCUUUAAUUAAAGGUCAAUGAGGAACAUGCAAUGCAACCAACACAAAAAUCAAACCUAUGAUUAUCUCAAUGUUUUAAUUAACUGCACCAUAAGCAUAAAUUACAGUCUUGAUGAUGGUGAAGAACACAGAAAAAAGUCUGUAUUACAAUUAUUUUGCCUUUGACCUUGCUAUGGAUCAUUCCUUCCAAUAAAUACAUUAUUGUAUUAACAAUGCUUUCCUCCU
RNAcentral lists this long non-coding RNA (1504 nucleotides) under Homo sapiens (human). Its description in RNAcentral is "HSALNT0150239". The record is from RNAcentral. Lineage: Eukaryota; Metazoa; Chordata; Mammalia; Primates; Hominidae.